GUGGGGAAUAUUGGACAAUGGGCGAAAGCCUGAUCCAGCCAUGCCGCGUGUGUGAAGAAGGUCUUCGGAUUGUAAAGCACUUUAAGUUGGGAGGAAGGGCAGUAAGUUAAUACCUUGCUGUUUUGACGUUACCGACAGAAUAAGCACCGGCUAACUUCGUGCCAGCAGCCGCGGUAAUACGAAGGGUGCAAGCGUUAAUCGGAAUUACUGGGCGUAAAGCGCGCGUAGGUGGUUCAGUAAGUUGGAAGUGAAAUCCCCGGGCUCAACCUGGGAACUGCGUUCAAAACUGCUGAGCUAGAGUACGGUAGAGGGUGGUGGAAUUUCCGGUGUAGCGGUGAAAUGCGUAGAUAUAGGAAGGAACACCAGUGGCGAAGGCGACCACCUGGACUGAUACUGACACUGAGGUGCGAAAGCGUGGGGAGCAAACAGGAUUAGAAACCCUAGUAGUCC
RNAcentral lists this ribosomal RNA (450 nucleotides) under uncultured bacterium. RNAcentral describes it as "partial 16S ribosomal RNA". It matches the Rfam family "Bacterial small subunit ribosomal RNA", at positions 354 to 796 of the family's 1533-position model. The record is from RNAcentral.